GAUGAACGCUGGCGGCGUGCCUAAUACAUGCAAGUCGAGCGAACAGACGAGGAGCUUGCUCCUUUGACGUUAGCGGCGGACGGGUGAGUAACACGUGGGUAACCUACCUAUAAGACUGGGAUAACUUCGGGAAACCGGAGCUAAUACCGGAUAAUAUUUUGAACCGCAUGGUUCGAUAGUGAAAGAUGGCUUUGCUAUCACUUAUAGAUGGACCUGCGCCGUAUUAGCUAGUUGGUAAGGUAACGGCUUACCAAGGCAACGAUACGUAGCCGACCUGAGAGGGUGAUCGGCCACACUGGAACUGAGACACGGUCCAGACUCCUACGGGAGGCAGCAGUAGGGAAUCUUCCGCAAUGGGCGAAAGCCUGACGGAGCAACGCCGCGUGAGUGAUGAAGGUCUUCGGAUCGUAAAACUCUGUUAUUAGGGAAGAACAAACGUGUAAGUAACUGUGCACGUCUUGACGGUACCUAAUCAGAAAGCCACGGCUAACUACGUG
RNAcentral lists this ribosomal RNA (497 nucleotides) under uncultured bacterium. Its description in RNAcentral is "partial 16S ribosomal RNA". It matches the Rfam family "Bacterial small subunit ribosomal RNA", at positions 28 to 507 of the family's 1533-position model. The record is from RNAcentral.